ACGAACGCUGGCGGCGUGCUUAACACAUGCAAGUCGAACGGUGAAGGGGUCUGCUUUUGUGGGCCCUGGAUGAGUGGCGAACGGGUGAGUAACACGUGAGUAACCUGCCCCCUUCUUCUGGAUAACCGCAUGAAAGUGUGGCUAAUACGGGAUAUUCUGGGUCUGUCGCAUGAUGGGUCUGGGAAAGAUUGCGCCUUUGGGUGUUUUUGGUGGGGGAUGGGCUCGCGGCCUAUCAGCUUGUUGGUGGGGUGAUGGCCUACCAAGGCGGUGACGGGUAGCCGGCCUGAGAGGGUGGACGGUCACACUGGGACUGAGACACGGCCCAGACUCCUACGGGAGGCAGCAGUGGGGAAUAUUGCACAAUGGGCGCAAGCCUGAUGCAGCGACGCCGCGUGAGGGAUGGAGGCCUUCGGGUUGUAAACCUCUUUCGCCAGUGAAGCAGGCCUGCUCCUUGUGGGUGGGUUGACGGUAGCUGGAGAAGAAGCGCCGGCUAACUACGUG
Molecule: ribosomal RNA, 501 nt
Filed under: uncultured bacterium
Lineage: Bacteria
Description: partial 16S ribosomal RNA
Rfam family: Bacterial small subunit ribosomal RNA
Source: RNAcentral